ACAGUAGUUAUUUUAUAAAACAAUUACCAAAUGGUUUUCCAAGCAGGAUAGCGUGAUCCAUGCACUUGGGAUGUUGCUUGACUUUCGGAAAGCGUAAAAAUGCACUCGCCUGCGGCUCGAGUAUUUUUACGCUUUCCGAAAGUCUCGCGACAUCCCUCGUGCAUGGAUCAUGCAAUCCUGCACGGAAAACCAUUCGGUAUUCC
This 203-nucleotide long non-coding RNA is filed under the name Paramuricea clavata. The record is from RNAcentral. Lineage: Eukaryota; Metazoa; Cnidaria; Anthozoa; Malacalcyonacea; Plexauridae.